UACGAAGGGUGCAAGCGUUGUCCGGAAUUAUUGGGCGUAAAGAGCUCGUAGGCGGUUUGUUGCGUCGGCUGUGAAAUCCCGAGGCUCAACCUCGGGCCUGCAGUCGAUACGGGCAGACUAGAGUGUUGCAGGGGAGACUGGAAUUCCUGGUGUAGCGGUGAAAUGCGCAGAUACCAGGAGGAACACCGGUGGCGAAGGCGGGUCUCUGGGCAACAACUGACGCUGAGGAGCGAAAGCGUGGGGAGCGAACAGG
This 253-nucleotide ribosomal RNA is filed under the name uncultured bacterium. RNAcentral describes it as "partial 16S ribosomal RNA". It matches the Rfam family "Bacterial small subunit ribosomal RNA", at positions 524 to 776 of the family's 1533-position model. The record is from RNAcentral.